AGGGGGAGAAUCCCGUGCGAUGAGAUGCCCAAUUCCAUGUAAAGUGCUUUCUAACAGACGAGAUGUUUGGGAAUGCAGCUCUAAGUGGGUGGGAAAUUCCAUCUAAAGCUAAAUAUUGGCGAGAGACCGAUAGCGAACAAGUACAGUGAUGGAAAGAUGAAAAGAACUUUGAAAAGAGAGAGAAAAAAUACGUGAAAUUGUUGAAAGGGAAGGGCUUGAGAUCAGACUUGGUAUUUUGCGUUCCCUUCCGUUUUGGGUGGGUUCCUCGCAGCUUACUGGGGCAGCAUCGGUUUGGAUGGGAGGAAAAUGACAUUGGAAUGUAGCUCUACUUCUGUGAAGUGUUAUAGACUUUGUUGAUACUGCCUAUCUAGACCGAGGACUGCGUCUUUGACUAGGAUGCUGGGGUAAUGAUCUUAAGCCGCCCGCCUUGAAACACGG
This 438-nucleotide ribosomal RNA is filed under the name Dujonia zeylanoides. Its description in RNAcentral is "eukaryotic LSU rRNA". It matches the Rfam family "Eukaryotic large subunit ribosomal RNA", at positions 209 to 664 of the family's 3401-position model. Lineage: Eukaryota; Fungi; Ascomycota; Pichiomycetes; Serinales; Debaryomycetaceae. The record is from RNAcentral.